CGCCCCGCCGACUGCAGCCUGCGCUCGGCGCUCGGCGUCCGGCGCCCGGCCGAACGGCGCCCACAAGGUGGCAGUGCCGCGCUGCUGGUGUCCUGGCCGGGUUCCGCGCGACCCGCGCGGGGAGGCCGGAGCCCGCGCAUCCCUCCUGCAAAAGUUUUAAUGAACAUAGACCCACCCGGGCCUGAGGCGCUCCCAGGCCUGCUAGCCGCGCCGCUUCGAUUUCGGAGUUCCUCUGGGAGAGUUGCACGCUUCGAUGGCGUCUCUCUUUGUCCUCGACUCAGAGAAUCAGGAUUCGGAUCCUGUAAUUGAAGCAGGAGUCCGGCCAUGGCUGUGGAGAUGCCAUCACCCUAAGGAAAGAGGGAGGCAUCUUCUGAGGAAUCGCCUUGAGAACCCGAGGCACAUCUGUUCAUACCUUCAAUCCUGACAAGCUGUUUUUGAAGGCGAAUAUGAUGUUUGGAACCAUCUAGAAGUCAUUUGGAGUCCAGUGAAAAAGCCAGCGAUCAAGGGGAGAAUAAAGGUCUGAGUGAAAAGGUAGCAGCCAAAGGAGCGUGGAAGGGGAAGAGUUCCAACAGGAGUCGGACAAGAUCACUUCAGGCAGAAGGAGGCUGACGCUCAAAAACCACGUGCCAUUGACUGUGCCCGAACCGCACGCACUCUUUGAAUGGAAAGAUGCCUGCUGCCUGCUUCGGACCUCUAGCGGAUGACUGAAGAAGCUGAGGGUCAGAGAGGCCGGCAGGCCACCGUGAGGCAGGCCACACUUGAGAGGCCAACGGCUGAGCUUCAGGCUUUGAGAAGCUCCUUCGUGCGGGUAAGAGAUGAGGGCCAUGCCUUUGGAAGUCUCUGUGCAGUGCUGGGCUCCGUUGCUAAUGAUGGCGAGCUCGUCACACCUCUGGGUGGUGUGGGCAGAUGGUUCCUACUUCGCUGUAGGAGCUCCAGGCUGAGGGAUGGCCAGGAAGUUUAGAAAGAUAUGCUGGUUCUUUAGCCUGUGCCUGAUGCAUUCUUGGCCGAUGUGGGUAACAGAGGAGAAAACAGAGAUGUACGUGGCUGUCCUCCAGCUAAUGCACCAUCACCACCAUGACCCCCACCUCCAUGCAGUCAAGCAGGGGCAUGGGAACCAGAACAAGCUGAGACAAAUGGCACACCCGCAGGGGACCACAGGUUGACAGCAACCCUGGGAUCAGUGGCAGGGUCUGGGGCACCAUGAAUCACCAGUGACCACCUAGGUCCCUCCGUCCCUGAUCCCCCAUGGAUUGCUCGCGCAGAGCUUCUCUUACAAAUGAUUGUACGUACUCUGUGAUGACCUGCCAGCCUAAGGCUGUUGGGUCCAGACGAGACAUAGCUGAUGUGGUCAGUGCUUGCCCACAUUCCCUGGGAAACUUUUCUCAUUUUCCUGCACACCAGCUCCAGGUGCGUCAAGCAGCACCUGUGUCUCUCUGUCAGAGGGCUACCCGCAGGGUUCUGGAACUGCUAUGCCAGCUUAAAAAAAGUAAUAAUGAGAAUCUGCAUCCUUCCGGGGAUGACAGCCCUUAACCAGUGGAUGACGGAUGGGAGGAGGAUGUAAAUACUUCCCUGGGCCCUAAUCAGGAGCACAGUGGAGGCCAUAGGGAGACGUUGGAGAGAGUGUCAGUCACACCUCACCACUUCCCUCCCUGGGGCUUUGCGCCAUGUUGCACACUUACCCAGCAUCCUUCCUUUCCGGGGCUGACUUUCCAAACCUUCUACCAGAUUUUCCUGGGGACAUUCCUUAAACGAAUCACUCAGUGUUCGCUUCUGGGGAAUCUAACCUAAGUAAGACACAAGACAAGGCACGGGAGGCAAUGUUUGUUCUAAGGCCCAGAAUCAACCCGGUUUCCCCUCAGCUCAGAUGGCUUCUCAUGUCUUUAAAGUUCAGGCUUCCUAGAUCAUCCCUUAAAGAUCCUUAGAGUGAAAGAGUCUAUCGUUCUGCUGCACAAGCAUAACAGGCAACUGUUCUCCCACUCUACAGGGUCUUCUGCGAAAUCUCAACUCAAAGUCAGCCCCAGGGCCCUGGGGGAAAUUCUGCUUCCUACGUCUUAAUUCAGAGUAACAUAGGCCUUGGCCAAAGCUUCCAACCAUAUAAUCACCUCAUGUUUCCCCCGUCCCUUUAGCCCAGCAAAAAUGAAAGCCAAUGGGGGCCUUAUAUGGCGUUCACAGACUUCGGAAACCCGUUCAAAAAUAGUUUCAGUUCCUUUCUUAUUGUCUCCCCAGAGUCUGAUAAUUCCUGGAAGGAGGACUGUAGGUUCAUUGAUACCUGGGGACUCCAGCAGAAAAUCAAUCCUGUAGCUCAGGGAAGCUGUACAAAAACCCCACGCGCUCCCCUGCUGGGGCUGUCAACUCUCUCCUCCCUCCCAGCCCUUUGAGCCUUGGGAGUAACUCCUGCUGCUCCGCAGAUCAGGCAGCCGUGGACGCCACGCAAACAGGGAAGAAAAUGGUGCAAACUGGGAGAACGCCAGUUCCUCAAGCUUGUCCUUCCUCCCCUUUGUGUAAUCUCCAAGAGCAUCUAGUUGAGCAGAAACGUCAACAUUGGUUUCAACAUGACACAUCUCCCAGGAAAGUUCCCGCACGUCACGAAGGAGAGUUUGGGCUUGUUGUGACCACUGUCGGUCUUGGCCCAAGCCUGGAAACAUGUGAAAACACAAGACUGGACCAGAACAACUACAGGCAAAUGCUCCGAAGUCCUGACACACCACUCAUA
Long non-coding RNA from Delphinapterus leucas (beluga whale), 2713 nucleotides. RefSeq lists it as uncharacterized. The record is from RefSeq and is a predicted model, not a curated record. NCBI's taxonomy places the organism in Eukaryota, Metazoa, Chordata, Mammalia, Artiodactyla, Monodontidae.